GCUUGUAUGACAUAUCAACCACUGCCCUUUAUAUGAAUUGCUAAUUGGAAUAACUGUCGGUCAUUUCUUCAAUCUGGAAAUUAGUGCUUCUGGUUUUCAGUUCCUGAUUAACUCAAUAACAUUCAGAAUGUCCCCAAAAGAACAAACAGAACACACCCCUCCCCCAAGGAGUUUAUAACCUAAUUUUGGACGUCUGACAAAGGUUGCGAGCAGCAAGCAAUGGGGACAGUGGCAAAGAGCAGUAGGAAAUAAAAUAGCUAAAAUAAUAUAUGAUAUGUAGAUUUGAUAUGGGCACAUCUUGAAAUUCUCCUAUUACAGUAUUUUUAUUUUUCUCAUUAUUUUAAUUUCUUCUCUUUAUGGGCCUUACCAGAAGAAGAAUAGUUAAAAUGUAUUCUCUGUUAAUCAUUGCUAUGCUCUGCACCAGGCUGACAGAGAGGAAAAGAUAACUCCCACACCCAAGGAGUUUAUAUAUUAAAGUGGACAGACUGUACAGUUUGGACACCUUGCGCAGCAGAUGACCUAUUGGAAGUCCACUCACACAAUACUGUGAUGACUUUAUUUCCUGACUGGCUUUUUGUUGGAAGACUUCUUGGAAGAAGUGUUAUAAGGAGGAAUAUAAAUGAAAAGAUGUAUUUAGUGCCAACUUAUUUAGUGUAGGGACUAUUAUGUCUUUUAAAGAAAGAUAUAAUUAGCUCACUUGGGAUGUUACUCAGGACUUACAUUUUGUUCUGCUGCUGGGUUUUAGAUCGCUUGGAUAGAGGCAUAUCUUGGGGAAGAUUUAUUAAAGGGGGUGCUGUGUAUCUUACUAAAGAGGAAGGAUAGAAGUUGAUAAAGUACAGGUAGGGACUGAAGAGAAACAGUCAAAUAAAAGAGUCCCAUUCAAUUAUACCACAUGAAGGUACAUGGAACAUGUCAGGAGUCAAGCCCGACAGCUGCACCUGCUCAGUACUCCUGAUAUCCUAAUGGUUGGCUGGCUGAUGGACUGUCAUGCCGGAUUUGUCUGAGGAAGCCAGCAGGUGGCCUCAGUCCAGCUUGGGUGGUGAGAGAGACUGGAGAGCCUACGUGGAUUGUCACACCAUGUACUGAACCCAUGUGGAACUGCAUAACAUCUCCAGAGUAACUGAAUUCAUAACUUGCAUGGACACAUAAUGCUUCUUGUGCUAUGUCCAUGCGCCUUACUGCAGAGAAGAACCAGGGUGCUUGUAAAAGCAGAUGAAAACAAAGAGUGGGCGUUCACACAGUUAUAUGCCAGUUCCCCACAAACCACAGUUUAACAGCUGCUGAUACAGAUUAAGGAUGUUAAGGACUAGUUGAGUAUCCGAUAAGCAAAUGCGCCUCUGUUUCAAAGCAGUGCUGCAAGGAGCUGACCCUGGGAACAGGAGCACAACUUUGAGGGAGGUUAAGGGUCCGCACCUGGACAGAAUGACUGAAUCCGAACCCAGGGGGGCUGGACCUGCAGUGGGGGGGGGGGGGGGGGGUUGGGCGCGGACCAUGACUGGACCUCAGCCAUAAACCUGCUUUAAAAAAUCUUUUUCUUUUUCCCUUUCUCGUAGCAUGAUGACUCAGUUAUUCAAACUAGGGAAAAUAUCCUCCUUUCGUAGCCUGUGUCUACACUAAACACUUUCCAGCAGCUCAGGCUACUGAUGCAGCUGCACUUCUGUAAGCUCUCUAAUAUAGCUGCUGUUCAGUUGAUGGGAGAGAGCUCUCUGAUUAGCUUAGCUACUCCAGUUCCCAUGAAUGGCAGUGUUUAUGUCUGUGGGGGCAUAUCUACGGAGAAUAUCGACACUCCGGAGGUCAGUCUUUUAGUGUUGGAUUUAGUGGGUCUAAUGUAGAACCCUAAACUGAACGCUGAGGGUAGCAUCCGUUGUCAUCUGGUACUCCUCAUUCCUCAAGGAAAGCCGGAGGGAGUAUGAACUCCUGUCAGCCUCCCAUAGUGUGGACGCUGUGGCAUUUUGGCUUAAGGUAAGCUGAAUCCUGCUAUGCAUUUUGUGUGGCUGGAUGGUAUACCUUAACUCAACCUGCCUGGUCUAUACUGCCUUGGAGAAGCUGUCCCACCAAUAUACCAAUGUGCACACCAGUGCUUAUGUCAGCCUAACCGAACAACGUAAGUUACACUAACAUAAGGUCAAAAACUAAGGCUAUGUCUACACUACCAGAUUGAUAUUUUCUUUUUAGUUUGUGUUUUUCAGUUCACUUUAGUGGUCCACAAUUUUUUCUUCCUGGAUGGACUAUGGAUGGAUACUUGGAGUUGGCUUCAUGUAAACAGCCAGCCUGAGAGCUAUCCGAGCCUGAGAGAUAUUGUUUCAUGUCCCUGUUGUGAAGUGAGCUGUAGUUCCUCACAGAUACAAUUGCAAUUUUGUGUGUAUGCAUUCAUAAUCAGAGCCUCCUAAUGACAUCAAAUUCAGAAAAUUACAGGUGUUCACAAAAGACUUGACAUGACAUACAUUUAUAUCCAACAGUAUACACAAUCAGUUGAUUCACUUGCUCAUUCUUUGGAAUUCAAAUGCUUUGUUCUUUUAUUGGGGUGUCUGCAACCUCAUCAUUGUCCCAGUCAUGGAAUAAAAAACAAUUCUAUACUUAGAUGCAUUGUUUUUUCUUACUUAAAACUACAGUAGAGUUGUUUCUUCACUUCUCAGGCAUAUACCAUCUUGCACCUACAGUCUUGCAGAGAAUAUGUUUGCUUUGAUUUAAAUAUAUAGAUUCUUAGGAAUUAAUUAUAUAAAUUCUGGAAGGGUUGAGUAUUACUAUUUGCUGCUAACUAAAGGUAAGAUGAAAAACAGCAUCAAAAUGAAAAAAAAAAAUCAAUCCUGCAAGUUUGUCCUUGGUAUUGUAAUAAUGGCAGUCCUUAUGCAGGAAAUAACGCUCACUGAUGACAAUCAGUGUUUUACCUGACUGUUGGCGACAGGCCCUACAUUGCCAAUUACCAAUUGUACGGAUCUAAAAAAAAAUGUAACUAGUUUCACUGAAUAAUAUACAACUCUGGUUUGGUAGGGAACUCUGAGGCCUAGUAUACACUAGUCCAGGCAGGUCGGCUUAAGGUACACCAUCCAGCUAUGCAAAUACGUAGUUGGAUUUGGCUUACCUUAAGCCAUGCUGCUGCAGAGUCUACAGCAGGGGUGGGGAAUCUUUUUGGGGUUGGGAGCCACUGACUGACAGAAAAGUCAGUUGCAGACCGCAAACAAACAGCGUUGGAUUGGGGGGUCUAUACUAGACCCGCUAAAUUAAACACUAGAGGAUAGACCUCUGGAGGGCCAAUCUUUAUAGUGUAGAGAAGCCCUGAGAGCCUGAUCCUCAGGGGUAUCAGGAUCAGGUGUAUAAACAAGAAAAAAUAGUGAGCUAAAUUACUGUACUCAAAGCUACUUCAUGGUAUGCAUUAAUACAGAAAGUCAGCAAAAUGAUACUAUUGGCAACUCAAACUGCUCUAAGGAUGAAUUUAUUCAUUGUCAUCAAAACCAAACAUCAAUAGUAAUGGCUACCUGGAUAAAUUCACAUCAAGCUGACCUGGCUAAUUAUCCCCUUCGUCACAAAGCUAUUCCUUGUAUCCCAAUGUGUCACGUGUAUCAGUGAACAUGCUGGGUUUGCUGUAAUGGGUGCGUCUAGACUGCCAGCUGUGUACAUUGGCUGCUUGAAUUUGCGCAAGAGCACUGAUGUUCUAAUGUAAGAAUUCAGUGCUUCUUGCACAAAUACUUUGACGCUCCCGCUCAGGGAUAAGCCCUCUUGCGCAAGAAUACUUGCACAAGAGGACCAGUGUAGAAAGGCACCUUAAUUUUUUGCGCAAAAAAGCUCCAUGUCUAAAAUGGCUAUCGGAGCUUUCUUGCACAAAAGCAUGUCUAUACUAGGCACGGAUGCUUUUGCGAAAAAGCACUUUCUGCACAAAAGCAUCCGUGCCAAUCUAGACACUCUUUUGCAGAAAUACUUAACGGAAAAACUUUUCCGUUAAAAGUAUUUCCGCAAAAUCAUGCCACUCUAGACGCAGCCAAUGUGUAUGCCUUUGUCCCAUGGCAAAGAAAUCCAGAUUACAAUGUGUUGUUGAAUCCAACAGAACUUUAAUUCCACAAUAGAUUUGUUUGAUACAAUUUGAUUAUGGGCACAGGCUUCUGUAAUUUAUUUCAGUGUGUAUUAAAUAUGUAUGCUGUUUGAGUGAUAUGGUAUUGUAUGUUCUUUCAUAACAGGAAGUAUAGCAGGCAUGUAUUUGUUUGUAUUAAAGAAGUGGUAUUUUAAAAUAUCAAAAAA
Pelodiscus sinensis (Chinese soft-shelled turtle) is the source of this 4233-nucleotide non-coding RNA. Lineage: Eukaryota; Metazoa; Chordata; Testudines; Trionychidae. The record is from RefSeq and is a predicted model, not a curated record.